AUUGAACGCUGGCGGCAGGCCUAACACAUGCAAGUCGAACGGUAGCACAGAGAGCUUGCUCUCGGGUGACGAGUGGCGGACGGGUGAGUAAUGUCUGGGAAACUGCCCGAUGGAGGGGGAUAACUACUGGAAACGGUAGCUAAUACCGCAUAACGGCGCAAGACCAAAGUGGGGGACCUUCGGGCCUCACACCAUCGGAUGUGCCCAGAUGGGAUUAGCUAGUAGGUGGGGUAAUGGCUCACCUAGGCGACGAUCCCUAGCUGGUCUGAGAGUAUGACCAGCCACACUGGAACUGAGACACGGUCCAGACUCCUACGGGAGGCAGCAGUGGGGAAUAUUGCACAAUGGGCGCAAGCCUGAUGCAGCCAUGCCGCGUGUAUGAAGAAGGCCUUCGGGUUGUAAAGUACUUUCAGCGGGGAGGAAGGCGGUGAAGUUAAUAACUUCACCGAUUGACGUUACCCGCAGAAGAAGCACCGGCUAACUCCGUGCCAGCCGCCGCCGUAA
Molecule: ribosomal RNA, 504 nt
Filed under: uncultured bacterium
Lineage: Bacteria
Description: partial 16S ribosomal RNA
Rfam family: Bacterial small subunit ribosomal RNA
Source: RNAcentral